CCCCGUCCCUUCUUCCCAGGACACCUUCAUCGCUGUGUUCGCGCAGGUGGUUCGGGGCGUUGUUGCCCCAGACUUUGCUGCUUCGCUUCCGGCGGAUUCGCCUGCUCGGGACACCGCCUGCUGAGAGACGGAGGCUGUAGCCUCGCUUCUCCGGAAGACUCGAUGAAAGCAAUGGAAGACUAUUGAUGGCCUAAACACCAACAUGACCACAAGAUGUCCGAAGACCAUGAGUUCUAGCCUAUUAUGCUGGAAGUUCAGAAGCUCACAGAGAUAGGACUAUCUGGUGGAAGCCUUUGAGCAUGAGAACGGCAUGCAGGAAAAAGUUACAAAGUACUGAUUGCCCAGUUGUCCUGCAACUUCCUUCAUGAGGAAGAAUUGUUGGAACCAACCUGGAGACCAAUGGCAGUCUGCUCCAUAAGAAACAAAAAACUGUUAAAAAGAUGG
RNAcentral lists this long non-coding RNA (444 nucleotides) under Columba livia (rock pigeon). RNAcentral's name for it is "partial uncharacterized LOC102093081". The record is from RNAcentral. Lineage: Eukaryota; Metazoa; Chordata; Aves; Columbiformes; Columbidae.